GAUUAACGCUGGCGGCGUGCCUAAUGCAUGCAAGCCGAACGGCUCGAUUUAUCGAGCAGUGGCAAACGGGUGAGUAACACGUAAGAACCUACCCUCAAGUGGGGGAUAACCCCGAGAAAUCGGGGCUAAUACCGCAUACGCUCUCUGAUUCUGUCAGGGAGGAAAGUUGAGGCGCUUGAGGACGGGCUUGCGUCCGAUUAGCUUGUUGGUGAGGUAAUGGCUCACCAAGGCUGAGAUCGGUAGCUGGUCUUAGAGGAUGAUCAGCCACACUGGGACUGAGAUACGGCCCAGACUCCUACGGGAGGCAGCAGCAGGGAAUAUUGCGCAAUGGGUGAAAGCCUGACGCAGCAACGCCGCGUGGGGGAUGAAGGCCCUCGGGUCGUAAACCCCUUUUCUCAGGGAAGAUAAUGACGGU
RNAcentral lists this ribosomal RNA (415 nucleotides) under uncultured bacterium. Its description in RNAcentral is "bacterial SSU rRNA". It matches the Rfam family "Bacterial small subunit ribosomal RNA", at positions 28 to 458 of the family's 1533-position model. The record is from RNAcentral.